RNAcentral lists this ribosomal RNA (325 nucleotides) under Microcerotermes sp. VR-2017. Its description in RNAcentral is "eukaryotic LSU rRNA". It matches the Rfam family "Eukaryotic large subunit ribosomal RNA", at positions 681 to 952 of the family's 3401-position model. Lineage: Eukaryota; Metazoa; Arthropoda; Insecta; Blattodea; Termitidae. The record is from RNAcentral.
UGUGCGCGAGUCACUGGGAUCUUGUCUAAACCCAGAGGCGCAGUGAAAGCGUGGGGCUCGCACGGCAUAAAGCCGCUGCGAGCCGCUAAGGGAGGACGGCCGGUCGUUCCCGAACGGUGCGGCCGGCCAGCACUCCCGGGGCGCCUCGGCUCCGGCCGCAGGCGCACCCGGAGCGCACACGUUGGGACCCGAAAGAUGGUGAACUAUGCCCGGCCAGGACGAAGUCAGGGGAAACCCUGAUGGAGGUCCGCAGCGAUUCUGACGUGCAAAUCGAUCGUCAGAGCUAGGUAUAGGGGCGAAAGACUAAUCGAACCAUCUAGUAGCU